UUGGCAAAGCUUUGUCAAGGUGAACCAAACCAAAUGGGAUCGCUAUCUGGAUGCCGUUACAUUCAGCAUAAGAACCAAAAAGCAACUUACAACUCAAUACUCCCCUUACUAUUUGCUUUUUGGAAGGGAAGCACGAUACUUUUCGGAGGUCCCACAAACAUUCGAAGUCAAUGAAACAGUGGAGCAAGCCAUUCAGAUUGAGGCUGUCAACCCUGCUCUUCAGCUGCAGGAAAAGGUCUUUGAAGUGGUCAGAAAAAAUAUGAAAGCAUCAAGACA
This is a non-coding RNA of Paramormyrops kingsleyae, 276 nucleotides long. Lineage: Eukaryota; Metazoa; Chordata; Actinopteri; Osteoglossiformes; Mormyridae. The record is from RefSeq and is a predicted model, not a curated record.